Molecule: non-coding RNA, 29 nt
Filed under: Homo sapiens (human)
Lineage: Eukaryota; Metazoa; Chordata; Mammalia; Primates; Hominidae
Source: RNAcentral
UAGGGAGUGGUGAGGACUCUUAAAGUGCA